RNAcentral lists this ribosomal RNA (253 nucleotides) under uncultured bacterium. Its description in RNAcentral is "partial 16S ribosomal RNA". It matches the Rfam family "Bacterial small subunit ribosomal RNA", at positions 524 to 776 of the family's 1533-position model. The record is from RNAcentral.
UACGUAGGGGGCAAGCGUUGUCCGGAAUCAUUGGGCGUAAAGAGCGCGUAGGCGGCCCUGUAAGUCCGCUGUGAAAGUCAAGGGCUCAACCCUUGGAUGCCGGUGGAUACUGCAGGGCUAGAGUCCGGAAGAGGCGAGUGGAAUUCCUGGUGUAGCGGUGAAAUGCGCAGAUAUCAGGAAGAACACCAAUGGCGAAGGCGGCUCACUGGCCCGGUACUGACGCUGAGGUGCGAAAGCGUGGGGAGCAAACAGG